Molecule: ribosomal RNA, 459 nt
Filed under: uncultured bacterium
Lineage: Bacteria
Description: partial 16S ribosomal RNA
Rfam family: Bacterial small subunit ribosomal RNA
Source: RNAcentral
CCUACGGGAGGCAGCAGUGAGGAAUAUUGGUCAAUGGGCGAGAGUCUGAACCAGCCAAGUCGCGUGAGGGAAGAAGGUUCUAUGGAUUGUAAACCUCUUUUGUCAGGGAAUAAAGUGACGCACGUGUGGGUGUUGGAGAGUACCAGAUGAAUAAGCAUCGGCUAACUCCGUGCCAGCAGCCGCGGUAAUACGGAGGGUGCGAGCGUUAUCCGGAUUUAUUGGGUGUAAAGGGUGCGUAGACGGGUAAUCAAGUCAGCGGGAAAAGCGCGGAGCUAAACCCCAUACAGCCGGUGAAACUGAUGGUCUGGAGUGGGGGAGAGGUAGGCGGAAUGCGUGGUGUAGCGGUGAAAUGCGUAGAUAUCAGGAGGAACUCCGGUGGCGAAGGCAGCAUGCUGGAGCCCGACUGACGCUGAGGCUCGAAAGCGUGGGGAGCGAACAGGAUUAGAUACCCGAGUAGUC